GAUGAACGCUGGCGGCGUGCCUAAUACAUGCAAGUCGAGCGAACAGACGAGGAGCUUGCUCCUCUGACGUUAGCGGCGGACGGGUGAGUAACACGUGGAUAACCUACCUAUAAGACUGGGAUAACUUCGGGAAACCGGAGCUAAUACCGGAUAAUAUAUUGAACCGCAUGGUUCAAUAGUGAAAGACGGUUUUGCUGUCACUUAUAGAUGGAUCCGCGCCGCAUUAGCUAGUUGGUAAGGUAACGGCUUACCAAGGCAGCGAUGCGUAGCCGACCUGAGAGGGUGAUCGGCCACACUGGAGCUGAGACACGGUCAAGACGCCUACGGGAGGCAGCAGUAGGGAAUCGUCCGCAAUGGGCGAAAGCCUGACGGAGCAACGCCGCGUGAGUGAUGAAGGUCUUCGGAUCGUAAAACUCUGUUAUUAGGGAAGAACAAAUGUGUAAGUAACUAUGCACGUCUUGACGGUACCUAAUCAGAAAGCCACGGCUAACUACGUG
This 497-nucleotide ribosomal RNA is filed under the name uncultured bacterium. Its description in RNAcentral is "partial 16S ribosomal RNA". It matches the Rfam family "Bacterial small subunit ribosomal RNA", at positions 28 to 507 of the family's 1533-position model. The record is from RNAcentral.